ACACGACUACAUUAGAUGCCCCUGUAGUCCUAGCCGUAAACGAUACUCGCUAGGUGUCGGCCACGGUGCGACCGUUGUCGGUGCCGUAGGGAAGCCGUGAAGCGAGCCACCUGGGAAGUACGGCCGCAAGGCUGAAACUUAAAGGAAUUGGCGGGGGAGCACCACAACGGGUGGAGCUUGCGGUUUAAUUGGAUUCAACGCCGGAAAUCUUACCGGGACCGACAGCAACAUGAAGGCCAGGCUGAAGACUUUGCCGGAUUAGCUG
RNAcentral lists this ribosomal RNA (265 nucleotides) under uncultured archaeon. Its description in RNAcentral is "partial 16S ribosomal RNA". It matches the Rfam family "Archaeal small subunit ribosomal RNA", at positions 717 to 982 of the family's 1478-position model. The record is from RNAcentral.